UGGAGAGUUUGAUCCUGGCUCAGGAUGAACGCUGGCGGCGUGCCUAAUACAUGCAAGUCGAGCGAACGGAUUAAGAGCUUGCUCUUAAGAAGUUAGCGGCGGACGGGUGAGCUAACACGUGGGUAACCUGCCCAUAAGACUGGGAUAACUCCGGGAAACCGGGGCUAAUACCGGAUAACAUYUWGCACCGCAUGGUGCAARAUUGAAAGGCGGCUUCGGCUGUCACUUAUGGAUGGACCCGCGUCGCAUUAGCUAGUUGGUGAGGUAACGGCUCACCAAGGCGACGAUGCGUAGCCGACCUGAGAGGGUGAUCGGCCACACUGGGACUGAGACACGGCCCAGACUCCUACGGGAGGCAGCAGUAGGGAAUCUUCCGCAAUGGACGAAAGUCUGACGGAGCAACGCCGCGUGAGCGAUGAAGGCCUUCGGGUCGUAAAGCUCUGUUGUUAGGGAAGAACAAGUAUGAGUUGAAUAAGCUCAUGCCUUGACGGUACCUAACCAGAAAGCCACGGCUAACUACGUGCCAGCAGCCGCGGUA
RNAcentral lists this ribosomal RNA (538 nucleotides) under Bacillus sp. FERN11. RNAcentral describes it as "bacterial SSU rRNA". It matches the Rfam family "Bacterial small subunit ribosomal RNA", at positions 1 to 522 of the family's 1533-position model. Lineage: Bacteria; Bacillati; Bacillota; Bacilli; Caryophanales; Bacillaceae. The record is from RNAcentral.